Molecule: ribosomal RNA, 495 nt
Filed under: uncultured bacterium
Lineage: Bacteria
Description: bacterial SSU rRNA
Rfam family: Bacterial small subunit ribosomal RNA
Source: RNAcentral
GAGUUUGAUCCUGGCUCAGGAUGAACGCUGGCGGCGUGCCUAAUACAUGCAAGUCGAACGCUUCACUUCGGUGAAGAGUGGCGAACGGGUGAGUAAUACAUAAGUAACCUGGCAUCUACAGGGGGAUAACUGAUGGAAACGUCAGCUAAGACCGCAUAGGUGUAGAGAUCGCAUGAACUCUAUAUGAAAAGUGCUACGGGACUGGUAGAUGAUGGACUUAUGGCGCAUUAGAUAGUUGGCGGGGUAACGGCCCACCAAGUCGACGAUCAGUAGCCGGACUGAGAGGUUGAACGGCCACAUUGGGACUGAGACACGGCCCAGACUCCUACGGGAGGCAGCAGUGGGGGAUAUUGGACAAUGGGGGCAACCCUGAUCCAGCGACGCCGCGUGAGGGAAGAAGGUUUUCGGAUUGUAAACCUCUGUUGACGGAGAAAAAAAUGAUGGUAUCCGUUUAGAAAGCCACGGCUAACUACGUGCCAGCCGCCGCGGUAAUAC